CUAGAGUCUUUAUCAGUUUUGUCAGGUAAAGCGAAUGAUUAGAGGUUCCGGGGAAGUAACUUCCUCGACCUAUUCUCAAACUUUAAAUGGGCAAGAUCCAGUAGUUACUUAAUUGAACUAUUGGGGUCAAUGAGACGACUCUAAGUGGGCCAUUUUUGGUAAGCAGAACUGGCGAUGAGGGAUGAACCUAACGCUCGGUUAAGGUGCUAAACUGCUCGCUCAUCAGAUACCACAAAGGGUGUUGGUCGAUCUUAACAGCAGGACGGUGGUCAUGGAAGUCGAAAUCCGCUAAGGAGUGUGUAACAACUCACCUGCCGAAUCGACUAGCCCCGAAAAUGGAUAGCGCUGAAGCGAGUGACCGAUACCGGGCCAUUGUUGCAAGAUAAUUGGCAACAAUGAGUAGGAGGGCGUGGGGGUUGUGAAGAAGCUUGGACGUGAGUCUGAGUGAAACAGCUUCCAGUGCAGAUCUUGGUGGUAGUAGCAAGUAUUCAAUAAGAGAACAUUGAAGGCCGAAGUGGGGAAGGGUUCCAUGUGAACAGCACUUGGACAUGGGUUAGCCGAUCCUGAGAGACAGGUUAAAUUCCAUCGGAUUGGAGCUUUGGCUCUGUUUCUCGAAAGGGAAGCUGGUUAGUAUUCCAGCGCCGAGACGUGGAUAAUAUGUGGCAACACAAGUGAACUCGGACACGCCAUAGGGGACCCCAGGAAGCGUUGUCUUUUCUUUUUAACAGUUCGACUUACCCUGGAAUCAGAUCAUCUGGAGAUAGGGUUUUCGAACUGGAAUAGCACCUUGUCUAACAGGGUGUCUGGAGUGUUCUCGCUGGCCCUUGAAAAUCCGAGGGAUAGAUUUAUUCGCACUCUCGAUCGUACCCAUAACCGCAUCAGGUCUCCAAGGUUAGAAGCCUCUGGUCCGUAGGACAAAGUAGAUAAGGGAAGUCGGCAAAAUAGGUCCGUAACUUCGGGAAAAGGACUGGCUCUGAGGUUUGGUAUGUGGAACCUGGAUUAAUCGUUGGAGUCGAGCAGAGACUACUGUUGCUCACGUGACUUGUGGACU
Molecule: non-coding RNA, 1051 nt
Filed under: Perkinsus marinus ATCC 50983
Lineage: Eukaryota; Perkinsozoa; Perkinsida; Perkinsidae
Description: Eukaryotic large subunit ribosomal RNA
Rfam family: Eukaryotic large subunit ribosomal RNA
Source: Rfam by way of RNAcentral